RNAcentral lists this ribosomal RNA (570 nucleotides) under uncultured Alphaproteobacteria bacterium. Its description in RNAcentral is "bacterial SSU rRNA". It matches the Rfam family "Bacterial small subunit ribosomal RNA", at positions 333 to 921 of the family's 1533-position model. The record is from RNAcentral. Lineage: Bacteria; Pseudomonadati; Pseudomonadota; Alphaproteobacteria.
YUUUCCCUACGGGAGGCAGCAGUGGGGAAUCUUGCGCAAUGGGCGAAAGCCUGACGCAGCCAUGCCGCGUGAAUGAUGAAGGUCUUAGGAUUGUAAAAUUCUUUCACCGGGGACGAUAAUGACGGUACCCGGAGAAGAAGCCCCGGCUAACUUCGUGCCAGCAGCCGCGGUAAUACGAAGGGGGCUAGCGUUGCUCGGAAUUACUGGGCGUAAAGGGAGCGUAGGCGGACAUUUAAGUCAGGGGUGAAAUCCCAGAGCUCAACUCUGGAACUGCCUUUGAUACUGGGUGUCUUGAGUGUGAUAGAGGUAUGUGGAACUCCGAGUGUAGAGGUGAAAUUCGUAGAUAUUCGGAAGAACACCAGUGGCGAAGGCGACAUACUGGAUCAUUACUGACGCUGAGGCUCGAAAGCGUGGGGAGCAAACAGGAUUAGAUACCCUGGUAGUCCACGCCGUAAACGAUGAUUGCUAGUUGUCGGGAUGUUUACAUCUCGGUGACGCAGCUAACGCAUUAAGCAAUCCGCCUGGGGAGUACGGUCGCAAGAUUAAAACUCAAAGGAAUUGACGGGGGGG